GGGGCCUUAGCUCAGCUGGCUAGAGCGCCUGCCUUGCACGCAGGAGGUCAUCGGUUCGACUCCGAUAGGCUCCACCA
Molecule: transfer RNA, 77 nt
Filed under: bacterium
Lineage: Bacteria
Description: tRNA-Ala
Rfam family: tRNA
About the family: Transfer RNA (tRNA) molecules are approximately 80 nucleotides in length. Their secondary structure includes four short double-helical elements and three loops (D, anti-codon, and T loops).
Source: RNAcentral